RNAcentral lists this ribosomal RNA (253 nucleotides) under uncultured bacterium. RNAcentral describes it as "partial 16S ribosomal RNA". It matches the Rfam family "Bacterial small subunit ribosomal RNA", at positions 524 to 776 of the family's 1533-position model. The record is from RNAcentral.
GACAGAGGGUGCAAACGUUGUUCGGAUUUACUGGGCGUAAAGCGCGUGUAGGCGGCUUCGCAAGUUGGAUGUGAAAGCCCACGGCUCAACCGUGGAAGCGCAUCCAAAACUGCGUCGCUAGAGUCUCGGAGAGGAAGGUGGAAUGCUUGGUGUAGAGGUGAAAUUCGUAGAUAUCAAGCAGAACACCUGCGGCGAAGGCGGCCUUCUGGACGAUGACUGACGCUGAGACGCGAAAGCGUGGGGAGCAAACAGG